GCGAACGCUGGCGGCGUGCUUAACCCCUGCAAGUCGAACGGAAAGGCCCUGCUUUUGUGGGGUGCUCGAGUGGCGAACGGGUGAGUAACACGUGAGUAACCUGCCCUUGACUUUGGGAUAACUUCAGGAAACUGGGGCUAAUACCGGAUAGGAGCUCCUGCUGCAUGGUGGGGGUUGGAAAGUUUCGGCGGUUGGGGAUGGACUCGCGGCUUAUCAGCUUGUUGGUGGGGUAGUGGCUUACCAAGGCUUUGACGGGUAGCCGGCCUGAGAGGGUGACCGGCCACAUUGGGACUGAGAUACGGCCCAGACUCCUACGGGAGGCAGCAGUGGGGAAUAUUGCACAAUGGGCGGAAGCCUGAUGCAGCAACGCCGCGUGCGGGAUGACGGCCUUCGGGUUGUAAACCGCUUUCGCCUGUGACGAAGCGUGAGUGACGGUAAUGGGUAAAGAAGCACCGGCUAACUACGUG
This 467-nucleotide ribosomal RNA is filed under the name uncultured bacterium. Its description in RNAcentral is "partial 16S ribosomal RNA". It matches the Rfam family "Bacterial small subunit ribosomal RNA", at positions 30 to 507 of the family's 1533-position model. The record is from RNAcentral.